UAAGGAAUAUCGCGCAAUGGGCGAAAGCCUGACGCAGCGACGCCGCGUGGGGGAUGAAGGUCUUCGGAUUGUAAACCCCUUUCGGGAGGGAAGAUGGAAUGGGGUAACCCAUUCGGACGGUACCUCCAGAAGCAGCCACGGCUAACUUCGUGCCAGCAGCCGCGGUAAUACGAAGGUGGCAAGCGUUAUUCGGAUUUACUGGGCGUACAGGGAGCGUAGGCGGUUCGGUAAGCCCUUUGUGAAAUCUCCGGGCUUAACCUGGAACAGUCGGAGGGGACUGCUGGGCUAGAGGACGGGAGAGGAGCGCGGAAUUCCCGGUGUAGCGGUGAAAUGCGUAGAGAUCGGGAGGAAGGCCGGUGGCGAAGGCGGCGCUCUGGAACGUUUCUGACGCUGAGGCUCGAAAGCGUGGGGAGCAAACGGGAUUAGAUACCCUGGUAGUCCACGCCUUAAACUAUGAAUACUAAGUGUCGGCGGGUUACCGCCGGUGCCGCAGCUAACGCAUUAAGUAUUCCGCCUGGGAAGUACGGCCGCAAGGUUG
Molecule: ribosomal RNA, 538 nt
Filed under: uncultured bacterium
Lineage: Bacteria
Description: bacterial SSU rRNA
Rfam family: Bacterial small subunit ribosomal RNA
Source: RNAcentral